CCGAACCUUCGACGGAAAAAUGGGGACCGCAGGUGGCCGGAAUCGCCGGAAAUCGGCCAAAGCUUCAAACUGCAGCCGGAGGGGAUUUUGCUUCGAUCCGUGCUUUUCCGGUCAAAUCGUCGAAAACCAAGGUUGCUAAGGUGAUCGGAGGGAGGAGGCGCUCCUCUGAUGACCGGUGGCACGCCGGUUGGUGGCCGGAAUCGCCGGAAAUCGAAGGAAGAAGGAAAACGGCCGAACCG
This 239-nucleotide long non-coding RNA is filed under the name Rosa chinensis. RNAcentral's name for it is "sRNA RchiOBHm_Chr5g0050521". The record is from RNAcentral. Lineage: Eukaryota; Viridiplantae; Streptophyta; Magnoliopsida; Rosales; Rosaceae.